This 253-nucleotide ribosomal RNA is filed under the name uncultured bacterium. Its description in RNAcentral is "partial 16S ribosomal RNA". It matches the Rfam family "Bacterial small subunit ribosomal RNA", at positions 524 to 776 of the family's 1533-position model. The record is from RNAcentral.
UACAGAGGGUGCAAGCGUUGUUCGGAAUUAUUGGGCGUAAAGGGCGCGUAGGCGGUGCGGUAAGUCUGUAGUGAAAUCUCUGGGCUCAACUCAGAGUCUGCUGCAGAAACUGCCGUGCUUGAGUGUGGGAGAGGUGAGUGGAAUUCCUGGUGUAGCGGUGAAAUGCGUAGAUAUCAGGAGGAACACCUGUGGCGAAAGCGGCUCACUGGACCACAACUGACGCUGAGGCGCGAAAGCUAGGUGAGCAAACAGG